CUCUUUUUGAUUAUAAUUUAAAGUAGGGCCUGCCCACUGAAUUUUGAAGGGCCGCAGUAUUUUGACUGUGCAAAGGUAGCAUAAUCAUUAGUUUUUUAAUUGAAAGCUAGAAUGAAUGGUUUGAUGAAAAAAUGGCUGUUUUAGUUUUAAUUUAUUGAAUUUUAUUUUUAAGUAAAAAAGCUUAAAUUUAAUUUAAAGACGAGAAGACCCUAUAGAGUUUUACUGAAUUAAAAAUUAAAUUCUAAGAAUUUUAAAAUUUAGUUUUAAAUUAAGUUGUGUUGGGGUGACAAAAAAAUUAAAUUAACUUUUUUUAUAUAAAUACAAUAAUAAUUGAAUUUUUGAUCCAUAUAAAUGAUUAAAAGAAUAAAUUACCUUAGGGAUAACAGCGUAAUCUUUUUUGAGAGUUCUUAUUGAAAAAAGGGGUUGCGACCUCGAUGUUGGAUUAAAAUUAAUUUUUGGUGCAGAAGCUAAAAAAUUGGGUCUGUUCGACCUUUAAAAUUUUACAUGAUCUGAGUUUAAACCGGUGUGAGCCAGGUUGGUUUCUAUCUUAAAUUUUUAUAAUAUUUUAGUACGAAAGGAUUGAAUAUUAUAUUAAUAAUAUAUUUUAUAGAAUUUUAUUUUGGCAGAUUAGUGCGAAGGAUUUAGAAUCUUUUUAUGUAAGAAUUUACAGAUAAAAAUUGAUUUAGUUUUAAUUUUUUUUAGUUUAAUUUUUUUAAUUAUUGGGAUUUUAGUAGGGGUUGCAUUUUUAACUUUAUUAGAGCGAAAAUUAUU
Molecule: ribosomal RNA, 771 nt
Filed under: Afidentula janczyki
Lineage: Eukaryota; Metazoa; Arthropoda; Insecta; Coleoptera; Coccinellidae
Description: partial 16S ribosomal RNA
Rfam family: Archaeal large subunit ribosomal RNA (bases 1-573)
Source: RNAcentral